UUCCGCAGCUUUGCAGAGAUUUUUAAACGCACGUUACGCAAGAAAAUCUUCAUUAGGUCAUUUUCAGCUUCCUGGGUUAUUCUGGUUAUCAUCUGACCUCCAGGACCAAUAACCAUUUUCUGCAAGAAAGAAAGAUUAAAAGAAAACAUAGGAGGAAUCAGAGAGCUCACCAUAUGAGUGUCUUUCUUCACGUAUAGUUUGAUGGAUAUGUCGAGUACCCCAUCCUCAGACUCCUUCCAGAUUUCUAUUUGCUGUAAAAAGACCAAAAUAAUAAGGGAAAAAAAGAAAACUAAUAAUAUUCCAGCAAACAUGAAAUAAUACAAAAAGGUCAAUUCAUAUUUUGAGUAAUGGAAAAGAUUAUGAAAGAUGGAUGGACGAAUGGACAGAUGAAUAUAUGACUUAAGUUUUGUGAAGAAAUUCCGAAUUUAUAAAUAAUGAGAAUCAUAUUGGAAAUAAAAUAGAUACUGAUCCAGUUUCAAUGAUUUGGAAUUUUCUCCUGAGUAUUUAUGCUCUCAGAAGAGUGUUUUCUAACAGGAGAACAACAAAUUAAUGAUGAAAAAUGGACCAGAACAAGAAAAUGAGAAUAUCGGAAAUGAGCGAAUGAGACUGCAUUUUACUAUAUUUUAAAAUGUAAUUUAUUCCUGUGAUGACAGCUGAAUUUUCAGCAUCAAUACUCCAGUCUUCAGUGUCACAUGAUCCUUCAGAAAUCAUUCUAAUAUGCUUAUUUGGUGCUCAUUUCAUAUUACAUUUCUUAUUAUUAUCAAUGUAUUGCUGUUUGUAAUGCUGCUUAACAUUUUUUCAUAAUUGUAAGAUUAAUACAACAGAUUCAAAAGAACACCAUUUAUUUGAAAUAGAAAUAUUUUGUAACAAUGUAAAAGUCUUUACUAUUUAAUGUAUCCUUGCUGAAUAAGAGGGGAAAAAAAUUAAUUAUUUAAUUACUAAAUGGUAGUGUAUUUUAUAUAUUUUAUAUAUUUCAACUAUAUUUCAACUUGCACAUUUCACAAUAUUACUGUUUUUACUGUAUUUUUGAUUAAAUAAAUGCAGCCUCGGUGAGCAUAAGAGACAUGAACUCCAAA
This is a long non-coding RNA of Ctenopharyngodon idella (grass carp), 1076 nucleotides long. RefSeq lists it as uncharacterized. The transcript has 2 exons. The record is from RefSeq and is a predicted model, not a curated record. NCBI's taxonomy places the organism in Eukaryota, Metazoa, Chordata, Actinopteri, Cypriniformes, Xenocyprididae.